AGCAGCGUCGCUCAGUGGAAAGAGCACGGGCUUGGGAGUCAGAGGUCAUGGGUUCGAAUCCCAGCUCUGCCA
Molecule: non-coding RNA, 72 nt
Organism: Ornithorhynchus anatinus (platypus)
Lineage: Eukaryota; Metazoa; Chordata; Mammalia; Monotremata; Ornithorhynchidae
Source: Rfam